AUUGAACGCUGGCGGCAGGCCUAACACAUGCAAGUCGAGCGGAUGAAGGGAGCUUGCUCCUGGAUUCAGCGGCGGACGGGGGAGUAAUGCCUAGGAAUCUGCCUGGCAUUGGGUGAUAACGUCCGGAAACGGGCGCUAAUACCGCAUACGUCCUGAGGGAGAAAGUGGGGGAUCUUCGGACCUCACGCUAUCAGAUGAGCCUAGGCCGGAUUAGCUAGUUGGUGGGUUAAAGGCCUACCUAGCCGACGAUCCGCAACUGGUCUGAGAGGAUGAUCAGUCACCUGGGAGCUGGGCCAGGGUCAAGACUCCUGCGGGAGGGCGCAGUGUGGAAUAUUAGACAGUGGGCGAAAGCAUGAUCCAGCCAUGCCGAGUGUGUGAAGACGGUCUUCGGAGUGUAAAGCCCGUUAAGUUGGGAGGAAGGGCAGUAAGUUAAUACCUUGCUGUUUUGACGUUACCGACAGAAUAAGCACCGGCUAACUUCGUG
This 484-nucleotide ribosomal RNA is filed under the name uncultured bacterium. Its description in RNAcentral is "partial 16S ribosomal RNA". It matches the Rfam family "Bacterial small subunit ribosomal RNA", at positions 30 to 507 of the family's 1533-position model. The record is from RNAcentral.